UGCUCCAGUAGUCCAAAUCACAUCUCUUGGGAGUGGAGAGCCACAGAAAGGUGUUUCAAGUGGCAGAUGAUGCAGUCUUAGGUUGUAAAGUAAAAUUACUUCUUGCCCCAUCUUAU
RNAcentral lists this long non-coding RNA (116 nucleotides) under Cyanistes caeruleus (blue tit). RNAcentral describes it as "lncRNA (ENSCCEG00000004729.1)". Lineage: Eukaryota; Metazoa; Chordata; Aves; Passeriformes; Paridae. The record is from RNAcentral.